AUGUUUUGACUGUGUUCAGUGGCAUUAUUCAACUCAUGCACAGACUCCUUAGUGGAACUCUGAAAUACAAGUAUGAGGACAACGUUCAUACCAGUAAAAAUCCAAGGAGUCCACUUCCCAAGGUGGUAUUUGCUAUUUUUGAGAUACUUGCUGUAGUAACUCAGGGACACAGAUAUGAUAAUCAGAAAUAUCUCCAAAAUUAAGAAGUUGAAGAAGCUGCACCCUUCUGGCAGAACAAAGUAAAAAAGAAAGAUGCUCAGCACGGCGCAUAAACAAGGAAUCAAUUCGGUCUUGUCCGCAGCCUGCAGGGGAAGAGAGUGAAAUUAGCUGGUUUACACACAAGCACACCAGUUUCCUGUACGACACACCGGCUGAUCAAAAUAUAGAAAAAUAUUUAAACUACUGAUAACAAAAUAUGAUAACAUGCACGUUUGAAUUAAUCGUAUAAAAUAUGUUCAUUUUAAAAAUGUACAAAUAACGGUGCAUGCGUUGGCUGUAGCAUUUAUCACGGCUGUAUCAUGGUGUCAGUGACUGUAGUGCGGCAGAUGUUUAACAUUUUAUUCACAUCAACAGGCUCCAUUCAGAGACCUUACAUGGUGUUUCUCCUCCUAGAUGCUUUAUUACUCUUUUCAGUGCCUCAUCAUUGGUUCGGGAUUUCAGCAGUCCCAUGUCUUCAUGAUAGAGACAGUCCACAGCAAACACGUCAUUCCUGUGAACAGAGUGUCUGCUGUCUGGUGCGAUGUAAUUAGGAUCAUAUGUGUGGUGGAGAGACACCAGAACGACGCGCUUGUAUGAAUGUUCUGCUGAGAGAGAGAGAGAGAGAGAGAGAGAGAGAGAGAGAGAGAGAGAGAGAGAGAGAGAGCUCACAUAACAUAUAUAAUUCAUAUUUAUAUAUAUUAUAUACAGAGGUUUUCAAUAAAGGCUGCUUUCACACUUGCCCUGUUUCUAUUUUAAGUACUGACCUGAACAUUUAUGUGCUGAUGUAAAAAGUCGCCCCUUGCGAUGCUCUCACUGCAAACGUGACAACGCUUUUAGCAGUCCUAGCUAGUCUCACACUUGCUUUCUACAUUAGAUUUAUUAUGAUCAGUAAUGAAGAUGAAAUAAAGACUGGUGUAACUCUGGUGAUCAGGGAGUUGUUUUGUCUUCGCUACAGCUUUGGAGGCCGAAAAGUUAGAGUUAGAGUUUUUAUGCAACUUGACUGCAUUGAACAUCCCACACAUACAAUACACACUGUUUAUGUUACACUGCAACACUGCCAUUCAAAUAUUUUCUAUUCAGUCCGUCGUAAAUCGUCUCAUUUUCACUCACUAACCAACCUGAUCAGUUCAGGCAGGUAAAAAUGUGCUUGAUGUCACUUUUCAUUUUUAUUUGAACUUUUUGCAGAUUUAGGUUCCCAAAAACACAGAAGGCAGCUUUCCUGUAGGACUACAUAAAAACGUGUUCUGGAAAAUGUGUGCUUACAGCUGAGGAAAAAACAUGGGUAAAUGUGAAAGCAGCCUUAUGAAUGAACGUGUGUUUACUGGGAAUUCUUUCAAGAGCAGCUUGAAUGUCCGUUCCAGCUCGAGACACAAUCGAGACGAAAGCAAUGAGGACAUCACAGUCAUUCUGCGAGUCCACUUCAUGUAGCUUCAUUUCGGAUCUGAGACGAUCCAUAAAGUGCUUAUUGGAGUUCAUGGUUUUCCCUAAAACCAGAGGGUAGACACUGCAUGUGGAAGGCAUUUUGAAGUCAAAUUAAAGCCCAGG
This is a long non-coding RNA of Ictalurus punctatus (channel catfish), 1743 nucleotides long. The record is from Ensembl. NCBI's taxonomy places the organism in Eukaryota, Metazoa, Chordata, Actinopteri, Siluriformes, Ictaluridae.